CAAUACUUGAACUUUGACAGGAAAGAGUUAAAAAAUAAACUAACAAAAACUUUAUAAGAUUUAAUAUAUAUGUCAAAGGAAUUAAUUAAAUUCUAUUAAGGUAUAAAAAAUAUUUGUCAGAAAUAUAUUACCUGACUAUAUUUACUACGUUCUUCCAAGAGUACAUAAAGCGCUCUGACUAUUUCAUUGUCUUGUGAUAAAGUAGUGGCAAAAGUAUGGAGCUCUGACGAUGACACAUCUGCACAAUCUACUAGCCAUUCAUUUAUUAAACUUUCCGUCAUUUUUAUUUUCCUUUUGCCUUUACCUCCAUGUCUUCAUCGAACGGCAUACAAUUCUCACUUUUAAGGCUGACACUUGUAACUUUGUAACCACGGUCGCUUGUGAGAUGAAUUGCUAACAACUAGAUAGGUAUGUAUCAUUGUCAUAAAUGUACAAGAGAAUCUACUCAUUUUUGAUUGGAUAAAAACUUUAAAUUAUUUAGAAUUAACGAAACUGAGAUAUAAAUGUUGAAUAAAUAUACAGUUAUGAUUUUUAUAAUACUUACAUAAACCUCCAAUUUUUUCAUAAUAAUUCUAUAAUUAUAAAAAAUAUGUUUUCAAAUAGCCCUGUUCAAGAUUAUCGCAUACAUAAGAAUUUACCCAGAGUCGGCAAAAAAUGAAUGUUCAGCUUCAAACUUAACAUUCAUACUUUUGGAUCAUUUUAAACAUUACUGGUACUCACGCUGGUGAUUCACAAAGAUGUUUAAAAUGAGGUUUGAAAAUUAUUUAUUAAAAACUGAAGCGGCCACAUAAGUUGGUCAAAAAAUUAAUGGAAAAUUAUAAAGAUGUAAAGUAAAAGUUUUAGAAUGUCAUUUUAUCCUUUCUCAACUUCUACAAAUAUUAACACAA
This 887-nucleotide unclassified non-coding RNA is filed under the name Bombus terrestris (buff-tailed bumblebee). RNAcentral describes it as "misc RNA ENSBTSG00005025258.1". The record is from RNAcentral. Lineage: Eukaryota; Metazoa; Arthropoda; Insecta; Hymenoptera; Apidae.